AAAUUUAUAAGCAAAUUUCCAUUUGAAUUUACACUUAUUAAUGACACAACUUUCUAAGAGACAAGAACCAAGUUCCUAGAACAUAUUCAAAGUAAUAAUAAAUUCUUCCCAAGAAACGAAGUUCAUGAAACAGAAAAUUCAUGAACCACAGAAACCAAAGAGACAAAACAUAAAUUCUUCCCAAACAACGAAAUUUAUGAAUCAGAAAAUUUAUAACCCACAAAAACCAAAGAGACAACAUUAACUAACCUCGGAAACCAAAAAGACAAAACCAUAAGUCAAAGAAACAAAACAUAUGUCUAGCUUACAAUUUCUAACAUGAAGCAGAUCUUCCUUUUUCUUUUUCCAGGGAAUCUGCAGCUUUCUUGGCAUUUCCAUGCUUAUUCUCUCGUUCCAUACCCAACAAAUGGGAACAUCAGCUGAGAACAAGAAAUGAAGCAGUUGCAAUGCCAUGAUAAAGACCAAAUAUUACCUUCGUCUUUUCUCCAAGAUAGCUUAAAGUUGCAAUGCCAAAGAUUGCACAGUUGGAGACAGUAGCUUUACAAGAGUAAAUGCUGAAGGGAGAUAAGAAAUAAAACCUACAGGAACAAAAAGACUUCAAUCUGUCAUAGGGGAGCAAGAUCAGUU
Molecule: long non-coding RNA, 627 nt
Filed under: Phoenix dactylifera (date palm)
Lineage: Eukaryota; Viridiplantae; Streptophyta; Magnoliopsida; Arecales; Arecaceae
Description: long non-coding RNA (PDAC_LNC000464)
Source: RNAcentral